UGGUUUGUGGGGGGCGGUGAUCGACUGUGGCGCCACCUGGUGGCAACGUGACGACAACUUCAUUUACACACAUCAGUCUGCUUCAUUCGAAAAGUGUACUAUUUGUACACACUGAAACUUCUUCUUUGAAAUGACAUUGAAAUCCCAUUUCCAUCUCAAAGAGAAGCUGAAAUAGCUUUCAAUGUGUUAAGAGUUGGUUCCGAGCCAAAACGCAGUCAAGUUGUUAAAAAUAUUUCCUGCAAGAAAGAUACUUUGACAGUGCAAUUUUGU
Molecule: long non-coding RNA, 270 nt
Organism: Thrips palmi
Lineage: Eukaryota; Metazoa; Arthropoda; Insecta; Thysanoptera; Thripidae
Exons: 3
Source: RefSeq, a predicted model, not a curated record